Molecule: ribosomal RNA, 253 nt
Filed under: uncultured bacterium
Lineage: Bacteria
Description: partial 16S ribosomal RNA
Rfam family: Bacterial small subunit ribosomal RNA
Source: RNAcentral
UACGUAGGGUGCAAGCGUUGUCCGGAAUUAUUGGGCGUAAAGAGCUCGUAGGCGGUUUGUCGCGUCUGCUGUGAAAACUCAGGGCUUAACCCUGAGCCUGCAGUGGGUACGGGCAGACUAGAGUGUGGUAGGGGAGAUCGGAAUUCCUGGUGUAGCGGUGGAAUGCGCAGAUAUCAGGAGGAACACCGGUGGCGAAGGCGGAUCUCUGGACAGUUCCUGACGCUGAGGCACGAAGGCCAGGGGAGCAAACGGG